GGCUUGUUUAUGGAUUCGCUGUGAUUCAUGAAGGUUUGUAAGCAUGUGGGAGUAGGCUCCCUUAAAAACGUCGAGGUUUUAAUAAACGCAAAAGAAAACAAAUUAAGCUUCUUAGCAGCAAGAAACACUUCUGCUAACGUAGCAUUCGCUUGCUAGUAUAAACGUAAGCACUCACCUUACUGUAUUCUAUAGCGGUAAGCUUUGAGGUCAAGAAAUUAUAGAAUAUACUAUCUUGCUGCUAUUCUAAGCGAGGUAAUGAAUAUAGUAGAAUGUAGGUAGUCUUUGGUUUGCUUAUUCGCUUAGGGCUACCCAAAAUUAUGAAUAAGAUAAACAUGUAGAAAGCAAAUUGAAUUGGGUUAUAUACGGGAGUUCGAGUCUCCCCAGGUCCACCA
RNAcentral lists this transfer-messenger RNA (392 nucleotides) under uncultured Anaeroplasma sp. It matches the Rfam family "transfer-messenger RNA". From Rfam's summary of the family: Bacterial tmRNA, also known as 10Sa RNA or SsrA, is named for its dual tRNA and mRNA-like properties. Its role is to liberate the mRNA from a stalled ribosome. To accomplish this part of the tmRNA is used as a reading frame that ends in a translation stop signal. Lineage: Bacteria; Bacillati; Mycoplasmatota; Mollicutes; Anaeroplasmatales; Anaeroplasmataceae. The record is from RNAcentral.